GAUGAAGAACGUAGCGAAAUGCGAUACUUGGUGUGAAUUGCAGAAUCCCGUGAACCAUCGAGUCUUUGAACGCAAGUUGCGCCCGAAGCCUCGGCUAAGGGCACGUCUGCCUGGGCGUCACGCAUCGCGUCUCCCCCAAACCGCCAAGGCGGAGGGGAAGGAAGAUGGCUUCCCGUGCCUCACCCGGGCGCGGUUGGCCUAAAUUUGGAGCCCGCGGCACUUAGCUCUCGCGGCGAUAGGUGGUGAACAAGGCCUUGGCCGUGCAAACAACCCGCUGCGAAGCUCUAUGUCACGUGCGCUCGUCGGACCCUUUGAAGUUGCCUUUGGUGACUUAAAACCUUUGCGACCCCAGGUCAGGCGGGGCUACCCGCUGAAUUUAAGCAUAUCAAUAAGCGGAGGA
Molecule: unclassified non-coding RNA, 400 nt
Filed under: soil metagenome
Description: partial contains 5.8S ribosomal RNA, internal transcribed spacer 2, and large subunit ribosomal RNA
Rfam family: 5.8S ribosomal RNA (bases 1-120)
Source: RNAcentral